Molecule: ribosomal RNA, 124 nt
Filed under: uncultured bacterium
Lineage: Bacteria
Description: partial 16S ribosomal RNA
Rfam family: Bacterial small subunit ribosomal RNA
Source: RNAcentral
UGGGGAAUAUUGCACAAUGGGGGGAACCCUGAUGCAGCGACGCCGCGUGAGCGAAGAAGUAUUUCGGUAUGUAAAGCUCUAUCAGCAGGGAAGAAAAUGACGGUACCUGACUAAGAAGCCCCGG